CCUGUAGUGGGGGAUAACGCAGCGAAAGCUGUGCUAAUACCGCAUACGAUCUACGGAUGAAAGCGGGGGACCUGCAAGGGCCUCGCGCUAUUGGAGCGGCCUAUGUCUGAUUAGCUAGUUGGUGAGGUAAAGGCUCACCAAGGCGACGAUCAGUAGCUGGUCUGAGAGGAUGAUCAGCCACACUGGAACUGAGACACGGUCCAG
Molecule: ribosomal RNA, 204 nt
Filed under: uncultured bacterium
Lineage: Bacteria
Description: partial 16S ribosomal RNA
Rfam family: Bacterial small subunit ribosomal RNA
Source: RNAcentral